CGAUGCAUCAUUCAAAUAUCUGCCCUAUCAACUUUCGAUGGUAGGAUAGUGGCCUACCAUGGUUUUAACGGGUAACGGGGAAUAAGGGUUCGAUUCCGGAGAGGGAGCCUGAGAAACGGCUACCACAUCCAAGGAAGGCAGCAGGCGCGCAAAUUACCCAAUCCCAAUUCGGGGAGGUAGUGACAAUAAAUAACAAUAUAGGGCUCUUUUGGGUCUUAUAAUUGGAAUGAGUACAAUUUAAAUCACUUAACGAGGAACAAUUGGAGGGCAAGUCUGGUGCCAGCAGCCGCGGUAAUUCCAGCUCCAAUAGCGUAUAUUAAAGUCGUUGCAGUUAAAAAGCUCGUAGUUGAACCUUGGGCCUGGCUGGCCGGUCCGCCUCACCGCGUGCACUGGUCCGGCCGGGCCUUUCCUUCUGGGGAGCCGAUGCCCUUCACUGGGUGUGUCGGGGAACCAGGACUUUUACUUUGAAAAAAUUAGAGUGUUCAAAGCAGGCCUAUGCUCGAAUACAUUAGCAUGGAAUAAUAGAA
Molecule: ribosomal RNA, 527 nt
Filed under: uncultured fungus
Lineage: Eukaryota; Fungi
Description: SSU rRNA
Rfam family: Eukaryotic small subunit ribosomal RNA
Source: RNAcentral